This 235-nucleotide ribosomal RNA is filed under the name uncultured bacterium. RNAcentral describes it as "partial 16S ribosomal RNA". The record is from RNAcentral.
CUGCUGCCUUCCGUAGGAGUAUGGGCCGUGUCUCAGUCCCAUUGUGGCUGAUCAUCCUCUCAAACCAGCUACUGAUCGUCGCCUUGGUAGUCCAUUACACCACCAACUAGCUAACCAGAUGCAGACUCAUCCUGUACCGCCGGAACUUUCAAGAAUACCAUCGCAGGUACGCUCAUAUGGGGUAUUAGCAGAAGUUUCCCUCUGUUGUCCCCCAGUACAGGGCAGAUUCUCUACA